Molecule: non-coding RNA, 46 nt
Organism: Trichobilharzia regenti
Lineage: Eukaryota; Metazoa; Platyhelminthes; Trematoda; Strigeidida; Schistosomatidae
Source: Rfam
GUACUGAUGAAGAGUCCCGGAAUAGGACGAAACAAAUGUCCAGUAU